CCUACGGGAGGCAGCAGUGGGGAAUAUUGGGCAAUGGGCGCAAGCCUGACCCAGCAACGCCGCGUGAAGGAAGAAGGCUUUCGGGUUGUAAACUUCUUUUGUCAGGGACGAAGCAAGUGACGGUACCUGACGAAUAAGCCACGGCUAACUACGUGCCAGCAGCCGCGGUAAUACGUAGGUGGCAAGCGUUAUCCGGAUUUACUGGGUGUAAAGGGCGUGUAGGCGGGGAAGCAAGUCAGAUGUGAAAACCACGGGCUCAACCUGUGGCCUGCAUUUGAAACUGUUUUUCUUGAGUGCUGGGGAGGCAAUCGGAAUUCGGGGUGUAGCGGUGAAAUGCGUAGAUAUACGGAGGAACACCAGUGGCGAAGGCGGAUUGCUGGACAGUAACUGACGCUGAGGCGCGAAAGCGUGGGGAGCAAACAGGAUUAGAUACCCCUGUAGUC
This 443-nucleotide ribosomal RNA is filed under the name uncultured bacterium. Its description in RNAcentral is "partial 16S ribosomal RNA". It matches the Rfam family "Bacterial small subunit ribosomal RNA", at positions 338 to 795 of the family's 1533-position model. The record is from RNAcentral.